Molecule: long non-coding RNA, 209 nt
Filed under: Rattus norvegicus (Norway rat)
Lineage: Eukaryota; Metazoa; Chordata; Mammalia; Rodentia; Muridae
Description: long non-coding RNA NONRATT033565
Source: RNAcentral
CAUGGCCUUCAAAGCACAUCCCAGCCAAGUCUAGGUGCUGCUCACACUCAGGAAGACCACUCCGCAGACACCUACUCAUUCGGGCGGAGCACAGAGGAGGGGCUAACCCCAGGAUGCUCACUGGCAGAGAAGACUUUUUGCUGAGAUUGGUGAGUUGCCUCCCAGGAAUCUAGAAGCACAAGGCAAGGAUCAACCCUCCAGCCACCCUU